CACGGCGCACGGGUGCGUACACGUGGGCAAUCUGCCCUCCGAUGGGGAAUACCCCCGCGAAAGCGGGACUAAUUCCGCAUAACAUUCCUUGGACUAACGUUCGAGGAUUCAAAGCAGCAAUGCGUCGGAGGAGGAGCCCGCGCCCGAUUAGCUAGUCGGUGAGGUAACGGCUCACCAAGGCAAUGAUCGGUAGCUGGUCUGAGAGGAUGGCCAGCCACACUGGAACUGAGACACGGUCCAGACUCCUACGGGAGGCAGCAGUGGGGAAUCUUGCACAAUGGGCGAAAGCCCGAUGCAGCGACGCCGCGUGAGCGAUGAAGCCCUUCGGGGUGUAAAGCUCUUUCGGCAGGGAAGAUUAUGACGGUACCUGCAGAAGCAGCUGCGGCUAACUACGCGCCAGCAGCCGCGGUAAUACGUAGGCAGCAAGCGUUGUUCGGAGUUACUGGGCGUAAAGGGUGCGUAGGCGGCUCGAUAAGUAUGGUGUGAAAUCUCCCGGCUUAACUGGGAGGGUGCGCUAUA
This 519-nucleotide ribosomal RNA is filed under the name uncultured bacterium. RNAcentral describes it as "bacterial SSU rRNA". It matches the Rfam family "Bacterial small subunit ribosomal RNA", at positions 94 to 630 of the family's 1533-position model. The record is from RNAcentral.